UGUGUUUGAGGUCCUUCCAAACUUCUUGUUGUGAUUUAGUUCUAAUUUCAAGGCAUUAUGGUCCGAGAAUAUGCAGGGGACAAUCCCAAUCUGUUUGGUAUCGGUUCAGACCCGAUUUGUGACCCAAUAUUGGUCUAUUCUGGAGAAAGUUCCAUGUGCGCUUGAAAAAGAAUGUUGUAUUCAGUUGAGUUUGGAUGUAAAGUUCUGUAAUAUCUGUGAAAUCCAUCUGGUCCAGUGUAUCAUUUAAAGCUCUCGUUUCUUGGAGAGUUUUGCUUAGAAGACCUAUCGAGUAUGAAAGAGCUAGAUUGAAGUCACCAAGUAUAAGUGUAUUAUUAUCUAAGUAUGUCUUCACUUUGGUUAAAAUGAUUUAUAUAUUUGGCAGCUCCCAAUUGGAGCAUAUAUAUUGAGGAUUUUUAAAGUCCUCUUGUUGAAUAGAUCCUUUAAGUAUGAUAUAGGUCCCUCUUCAUCUCUCACUACAUUUCUUUGGGGUAAAUUUUAGUUUAUCUGAUAGAAGGAUGGCUACCCCUGCUUUUUUUGAGGACCUUCGAAUGGUAAAGGGGUUCUCCAACCUUUAUUUUCAGGCUGUAGGUGUCCUUCUGUCUAAAAUGAGUCUCUUGUAGACAGAAAAUAGAUGGGUCCUGCUUUUUUAUCCAGUCUGAAACCCUGCGCCUUUUGAUGGGGUCAUAAGCCCGUUCACAUUCAGAGUUACAUUGAGAGAUAUGAGUUUAGUGUCAUCAUGAUAUCUAUUCAGUCUUUGUUUUUGUGGACUGUUCCACUGAACUUCUUCUUAAAGGGGAAUUAAGAGGCCCCCUUAAAAUUUCUUGCAGAGCUGGUUUGGAGGUCACAUAUCUUUUAGUUGCUGCCUGUCUUGGAAGCUCUUAUCUCUCCUUCCAUUUUGAAUGAGAGCCUUGCUGGAUAAAGUAUUCUUGGUUGCAUGUUCUUUUCAUUUAGGGCCCUGAAUAUAUCCUGCCAGCCCUUUUUGGCCUGCCAGGUCCUGUGGGAGGUCUGCUGUUAACCCUAAUACUCCUCCCCAUAAAAGUCAGGGAUUUCUUGUCUCUUGCUGCUUUAAGGAUCUUCUCCUUAUCUUUGGAAUUUGCAAGCUUCAAAAAUUAAAGUCGAGGUGUUGAACGGUUUUUAUUGAUUUUAGGGGGGGAUCUCUCUAUUUCCUGGAUCUGAAUGCCUGUUCCCUUCCCAGAUUAAAGGGAAAAUUUUUUAGCUAGAAUUGUUCAAUACAUAUUCUGGCCCUCUGUCCCUUUCGGCGCCCUCGGGGAAACCCCCAAAUUUAAAAGAGGUUUUUUCUUCCUCAGGCUGUCGUUUUUUUCCCUUAAUCUAUCUUCAUGGUCUUUAAUUGUUUGUCUCUUUUUCCUCAGUUUCCCUCUUUGCUGUCAACUUGUCUUCUAGGUCACUCACUCGUUCUUCCCCCCUCGUUAACCCUCGUCGUUAGGACUUCUAGGUGGGAUUGCAUCUCAUUCAAUUGUUUUUAAUUUCUGCCUGAUUAGCUCUAAAUUCUGCAGUCAUGAAGUCUCUUGAUCCUUUAUACUUUUUUUUAGAGCCAAACCCGUAGCUGUAUAAUAAGCUAAUCGGCAGAAAUUAAAAAUCAAUUGAAUGAGAUGCAAUCCAAACUAGAAGUCCUAACGACGAGGGUUAACGAGGUGGAAAAACGAGUGAGUGACCUAGAAGACAAGUUGAUAGCAAAGAGAGAAACUGAGGAAAAAAAGAGACAAACAAAUUAAAAGACCAUGAAGAUAGAUUAAGGGAAAUAAACGACAGCCUGAGGAAGAAAAACCUACGUUUUAAAUUUGGGGGUUUCCCCAGGGCGCCGAAAGGGACAGAGGGCCAGAAUAUGUAUUUGAACAAAUUCUAGCUGAAAACUUUCCUAAUCUGGGAAGGGAAACAGGCAUUCAGAUCCAGGAAAUAGAGAGAUCCCCCCUAAAAUCAAUAAAAACCGUUAACACCCCCAUUUAAUUGUGAAGCUUGCAAAUUCCAAAGAAAAGGAGAAAUCCUUAAAGCAGCAAGAGAAAGAAAUCCCUGACUUUUAUGGGGAGGAGUUUAGGGUACAGCAGCCUCUCCCAGAGACCUGGCAGGCCAGAAAAAGGGGUGGCAGGAUAUAUUCAGGGGCCUAAAUGAGAAGAACAUGCAGCCAAGAAUCUUUAUCCAGCAAAGGCUCCAUUCAAAAUGGAAGGGGAGAUAAAGAGCUUCCAAGACAGGCAGCAACUAAAAGAAUAUGUGACCUCCAACCAGCUCUGCAAAAAUUUAAGGGGGGCCCUUAAAAAAUUUCCCCCUUUUAAGAAGAAUUCAGUGGAACAGUCCACAAAAAAAAAAGACUGAAUAGAUUCAUGAUGACACUAAAAAUCAUAUCUCUCAAAAGUAACUCUAUGUGAACGGGCUUAAUGACCCCAUCAAAAGGGCCCCAGGGGUUUUAGACUGGAUAAAAAAAACAGGACCCAUCUAUUUGCUGUCUACAAGAGAUCCUUUUAGACAGAAGGACACCUACAGCCUGAAAAAAAAAGGUUGGAGAACCAUUUCCAUUCGAUGGUCCUCAAAAGAAAGCAGGGGUAGCCAUCCUUAUAUCAGAUAAAUAAAAUUUUCCCCAAAGACUGUAGUGGGGAUGAAGAGGGACACUAUAUCAUACUUAAAGGAUCUAUUCAACAAGAGGACUUAACAAACCUCAAUAUAUAUGCUCCCAAAGUGGGAGCUGCCAAAUAUAUAAAUCAUUAUUAAGCAAAGUGAAGAAAUCUUAGAUAAUAAUACACUUAUACUUGGGCUUCAAUCUCUCUUUCUAUCUCGAUAGGUCUUCUAAGCAAAACAUCUCCAAAGAAACGGAGCUUUAAAUGAUACACUGGACCAGAUGGAUUUCACAGAUUUCUACAGAAAUUUACAUCCAAACUCAACUGAAUACACUUCUUCUCAGCGCACUGGAACUUUCUCCAGAAUGACCCAUAUUGGGUCACAAA
Molecule: long non-coding RNA, 2954 nt
Filed under: Canis lupus familiaris (dog)
Lineage: Eukaryota; Metazoa; Chordata; Mammalia; Carnivora; Canidae
Description: lncRNA (ENSCAFG00000051565.1)
Source: RNAcentral